Long non-coding RNA from Sapajus apella (tufted capuchin), 3217 nucleotides. RefSeq lists it as uncharacterized. The record is from RefSeq and is a predicted model, not a curated record. The transcript has 3 exons. NCBI's taxonomy places the organism in Eukaryota, Metazoa, Chordata, Mammalia, Primates, Cebidae.
GUGCGUGUUCUCCACGCAGUGACCGGCUUAGUGAAUGAAGUAUGCGUGUUCUCCACGCAGUGAUGGACUGAGUGAGUGACGCGUGCGUGUUCUCCACGCAGUGAUGGGCUGAGUGAGUGAAGUGUGCGUGUGCUCCACGCAGUGAUGGGCUGAGUGGGUGAAGUGUGUGUGUUCUCCACGCAGUGAUGGGUUUAGUGAAGUAUGCAUGUUCCCCGUGCAGUGAUGGGCUGAGUGAGUGAAGUGUGCGUGUUCUCCACGCAGUGACGGGCUGAGUGAGUGAAGUGUGCAUGUUCUCCUCGCAGUGACGGGCUGAGUGAGUGAAGUGUGCGUGUUCUUCUCGCAGUGACGGGCUGAGUGAGUGAAGUGUGCGUGUUCUCCACGCAGUGACGGGCUGAGUGAGUGAAGUGUGUGUGUUCUGUAUACAUGACUGGCUGAGUGAAGUCUGUGUAUUCUCCACGCAGUGACGGGCUGAAUGAGUGAAAUGUGUGUGUUCUCCAUGCAGUGAUGGGCUGAGUGAAGUAUGUGUAUUCUCCACGCAGUGACGGGCUGAGUGAGUGAAGUGUGUAUGUUCUCCAUGCAGUGAUGGGCUGAGUGAGUGAGGUAUGUGUGUUUUCCGUGCAGUGAUGGGCUGAGUGAAGUCUAUGUGUUCUCCGUGCAGUGACGGGCUGAGUGAGUGAAGUGUGUGUGUUCUGUAUACGUGACUGGCUGAGUGAAGUCUGUGUAUUCUCCACGCAGUGACGGGCUGAGUGGGUGUAGUGUGCGUGUUCUCCACGCAGUGAUGGGCUGAGUGAGUGAAGUGUGUGUGUUCUCCACGCAGUGAUGGGCUGAGUGGGUGAAGUGUGUGUGUUCUCCAGUGAUGCGAUGAGUGAAGUAUGCGUGUUCUCCAUGCAGUGACGGGCUGAGUGAGUGACGUGUGCGUGUUCUCCACGCAGUGAUGGGCUGAGUGGGUGAAGUGUGCGUGUUCUCCAGUGAUGCGAUGAGUGAAGUAUGCGUGUUCUCCACGCAGUGACGGGCUGAGUGAGUGAAGUGUGCGUGUGCUCCACGCAGUGACGCGCUGAGUGGGUGAAGUGUGUGUGUGUUCUCCACGCAGUGAUGGGCUUAGUGAAGUAUGCAUGUUCCCCGUGCAGUGAUGGGCUGAGUGAGUGAAGUGUGCGUGUUCUCCACGCAGUGACGGGCUGAGUGAGUGAAGUGUGUGUGUUCUCCACGCAGUGAUGGGCUUAGUGAAGUAUGCAUGUUCCCCGUGCAGUGACGGGCUGAGUUAGUGAAGUGUGCGUGUUCUCCACGCAGUGACGGGCUGAGUGAGUGAAGUGUGCGUGUUCUCCACGCAGUGACGGGCUGAGUGAGUGAAGUGUGCGUGUUCUGUAUACAUGACUGGCUAAGUGAAGUCUGUGUAUUCUCCACGCAGUGACGGGCUGAGUGAGUGAAGUGUGUGUGUUCUCCAUGCAGUGAUGGGCUGAGUGAAGUAUGUGUAUUCUCCACGCAGUGACGGGCUGAGUGAGUGAAGUGUGUAUGUUCUCCAUGCAGUGAUGGGCUGAGUGAGUGAGGUGGGUGUGUUUUCCGUGCAGUGAUGGGGUGAGUGAAGUCUAUGUAUUCUCCACGCAGUGAUGGGCUGAGUGAGUGAAGUGUGUGUGUUCUCUACUCGGUGACGGGCUGAGUGAGUUAAGUGUGUGUGUUCUGCAUGCAGUGACUGGCUGAGUGAAGUCUGUAUUCUGCAUGCAGUGACGGGCUGAGUGAGUGAAGUGUGUGUGUUCACACAGUGAUGUGCUGAAUGACGUGUACAUGUUCAGUAACAGGCUGACUGACAGCAGCAGGAUACUCACUCCGUUGCCACACUGUAAAGGAGCCACCAAGAUGGGACACUGAGAAUAGCCAGAGAAAGGAUGAGCCAUAUUGCAAUUCCCUUUAGAUGAAAUGGCCAGAAAAGACACACUUAGCAGAGAUGGGAGCUGGCCAUGACCGAGCACAGGGCACUUGGGGAGUGAUAGAAAUGCUUUCAAACCUGAACCUGAACCUGGGAAGCCCUGUAGUUAGCAGUCCUGGCCCCGCAGCACUUCCAAACCAGGAACCAUACUUGUGAGUGAACAAGCCAUCAGCGAUUCCAUGCUCUGGCUGGAAUCUUGAGUCUUCACAGCUUGGGCCGUGCAUCUCGGGCAACCAGCAUCAGCAUCCACUCCCAGGAGCCACCCUGAACAUCUCCAUGAGUGUUCAGAUGCCUGCAACUGCCUGGGCAACCACAGGUGAUCCUGUCCCGCCAAACCUGUCCUGAAAGCAUAAAAUCAUGAGAAGAGAAAAUCAAAAUUGUUGUUUUAAGAAAAUCGUUGCUAAGGCUUAGGGUGAGUUGCUGUGAAGCAGCAGUAACCAGAACAGAGGGGCUAAGUGACGAAGACGAAGUUUGGCUGUAAGUUAAUCUUUGUGGCAACUGUUGGGAUAUUGAUGCAGUUUUGCUGUAUCCCCACCCAGAUCUCAUCUUAAAUUCCCACAUGUUGUGGGAGGAACCAGGUCGAAGGUGACUGAAUUUUGGGGGCAGGUCUUUCCUAAGCUAUUCUCAUGAUGGUGAAUAAGUCUCAUAAGAUGUGAUGGUUUUAAAAAUGGGAGUUUCCCUGCACAAGCGCUCUCUCUGCCUGCUGCCAUCCAUUUAAGACAUGACUUGCUCCUCCUUGCCUUCCACUGUGAUUGUGACGCCUCCCCAGCCAUGUGGAACUGUAAGUCCACUAAACCUUUUUCCUGUGUAAAUUACUGAGUCUCUGGUGUCUUUAUUAACAGCAUGAAAGCGGACUGAUACAGAUACCUUAUACAGUUAUCGCUACUACUUCUGUAUAUGCUUAAAUUUUUGCAUUGCAAAAUUCGCAAACGUUAUAGAAAUUAACGUCACAGAUUUACAGUCAACUUAUUCUAGAAUGUUGGAAAUUCUACGACAAAUAAAGAACUUGAUAAAAAGGAGGGGAAUGUUAGAAGGAAACCCUAGGGACCUGGGACCUAGACUCCAUCACUCCUGAAACAGUCAAAUUCAGCAUUUGAUCAUCAGUCAUUAUGUGGCAAUGCUAUUGUAGCUAUGCCAAAACAAAAUCCCUAUCUGAUCAAAGAGAUACGCUGCAACAUUUAUGGGUAAAAACAUAUGUCUGAAAUUUGCUUAAAGAUAUUCAGGAAGCAGGGCUCCAUGACUCCCGCCUGUAAUCCCAGCACUUUGGAAGGCCAACACAGGUGGAUCACUUGAGGU